AACGAACGCUGGCGGCAUGCCUAUCACAUGCAUGUCGAACGAGAUCUUCGGGUCUAGUGGCGCACGGGUGCGUAACGCGUGGGAAUCUGCCCUUUGGUUCGGAAUAACAGUUGGAAACGACUGCUAAUACCGGAUGAUGACGAAAGUCCAAAGAUUUAUCGCCAGAGGAUGAGCCCGCGUAGGAUUAGCUAGUUGGUGUGGUAAAGGCGCACCAAGGCGACGAUCCUUAGCUGGUCUGAGAGGAUGAUCAGCCACACUGGGACUGAGACACGGCCCAGACUCCUACGGGAGGCUGCAGUGGGGAAUAUUGGACAAUGGGCGAAAGCCUGAUCCAGCAAUGCCGCGUGAGUGAUGGAGGCCUUAGGGUUGUAAAGCUCUUUUACCCGGGAUGAUAAUGACAGUACCGGGAGAAUAAGCUCCGGCUAACUCCGUGCCAGCAGCCGCCGUAA
Molecule: ribosomal RNA, 449 nt
Filed under: uncultured bacterium
Lineage: Bacteria
Description: partial 16S ribosomal RNA
Rfam family: Bacterial small subunit ribosomal RNA
Source: RNAcentral